GUUUGCACUUAUCGGGGAAGGGUGAGAACCUUCGAUUAAGGUUCGACUUGAGCGAAAGCGAGAGAACGUUGCCAACGGCAACGGCCCGUAGGGUGAGGAGCGAAGCGACGAAUAACCCUUCCCCCACCACCA
Molecule: small RNA, 132 nt
Filed under: Salmonella enterica
Lineage: Bacteria; Pseudomonadati; Pseudomonadota; Gammaproteobacteria; Enterobacterales; Enterobacteriaceae
Also listed under: 3 other names
Description: RtT sRNA
Rfam family: RtT RNA
About the family: This family represents a bacterial cis-regulatory element known as RtT RNA. The exact function of RtT is unknown although it is thought that it may be involved in changing the cellular response in relation to amino acid starvation.
Source: RNAcentral